RNAcentral lists this ribosomal RNA (1419 nucleotides) under metagenome. Its description in RNAcentral is "SSU rRNA". It matches the Rfam family "Eukaryotic small subunit ribosomal RNA", at positions 362 to 1801 of the family's 1831-position model. The record is from RNAcentral.
ACGGGGAAUCAGGGUUCGAUUCCGGAGAGGGAGCCUGAGAAAUAGCUACCACAUCCAAGGAAGGCAGCAGGCGCGCAAAUAGGCCACUCCCGAAACGGGGAGGUAGUGACGAUAAAUAACGAUGCGGGACUCAAUCGAGGCCCCGUAAUUGGAAUGAGUACACUUUAAAUCCUUUAACGAGGAUCAAUUGGAGGGCAAGUCUGGUGCCAGCAGCCGCGGUAAUUCCAGCUCCAAUAGCGUAUAUUAAAGUUGUUGCAGUUAAAAAGCUCGUAGUUGGAUCUCAGGAUUUGGAUGGAUGGUUCGCUUUCGGGCGCUACUAUCUGUCUGACCUACUCUAGUCGUGGAUGCCUUGGGUGCUCUUAAUUGAGUGCUUUUGGUGCCCGACGCAAUUACUUUGAAAAAAUUAGAGUGCUCAAAGCAGGCGUAUUGCCUGAAUAGUGUUGCAUGGAAUAAUGAAAUAGGAGUUUACUUCUAUUUUGUUGGUUUUCGGAGGUGAACUAAUGAUUAACAGGGACAGACGGGGGCAUUUGUAUGGAGGGGUUAGAGGUGAAAUUCUUGGAUCCUCUCCAGACAAACUACUGCGAAAGCAUUUGCCAGGAAUGUUUUCACUAAUCAAGAACGAAAGUCAGAGGUUCGAAGACGAUCAGAUACCGUCCUAGUUCUGACCAUAAAUGAUGCCAACUAACAAUCCACGAAGUUUGCUUGUACGAACUCGUGGGCGGUCCCCGGGAAACCAAAGAUUUUGGGUUCCGGGGGAAGUAUGGUUGCAAAGCUGAAACUUAAAGGAAUUGACGGAAGGGCACCACCAGGAGUGGAGCCUGCGGCUUAAUUUGACCCAACACGGGAAACCUCACCCGGCCCGGACACUUUUAGGAUUGACAGAUUGAAGGCUCUUUCUUGAUCAAGUGGUUGGUGGUGCAUGGCCGUUCUUAGUUGGUGGAGCGAUUUGUCUGGUUAAUUCCGAUAACGAACGAGACUCUACUCUGCUAAAUAGAACGUUGAUAUAUAAAAGUCAGUGCUGACUUCUUAGAGAGACUAACGGCGUUUAGCCGUGUGAGAAAGAGCAAUAACAGGUCUGUGAUGCCCUUAGAUGUCCGGGGCCGCACGCGCGCUACACUGACUGCAGCAACUAGUAUGCUCCUGGUUUGAAAAAACUGGGUAACCUGGUUGAAUUGCAGGCGUGACAGGGAUCAGAGUUUGCAAUUAUCCUCUGUGAACGAGGAAUUCCCAGUAAGCGCAAGUCAUUAGCUUGUGCUGAUUACGUCCCUGCCCUUUGUACACACCGCCCGUCGCUACUACCGAUUGAAUGGUUUAGUGAGGUCUUCGGAUUGGUGCUGAUGGAGUGGUUCUCUGCUCUGUUAGUGCCGAGAAGAUGAUCAAACUUGAUCAUUUAGAGGAAGUAAAAGUCGUAACAAGGUU